This 66-nucleotide transfer RNA is filed under the name Cautires sp. UPOL 000177. Its description in RNAcentral is "tRNA-Phe". Lineage: Eukaryota; Metazoa; Arthropoda; Insecta; Coleoptera; Lycidae. The record is from RNAcentral.
AUAUUUUAAGGCUAAUGCCUUCUUAAUAUCUUCAAUAUUACACUUUAAAAAUAAGCUAUUAAAAUA